This is a long non-coding RNA of Cavia porcellus (domestic guinea pig), 1215 nucleotides long. RefSeq lists it as uncharacterized. The record is from RefSeq and is a predicted model, not a curated record. The transcript is spliced from 2 exons. Lineage: Eukaryota; Metazoa; Chordata; Mammalia; Rodentia; Caviidae.
GAUUUUGCCGGCCCAUCGGAGGCUUCCUUGUAGCUACUCUUCCUGUAUCUCCCAGUGCCAGAGCGAGACUCCACCAAGACAAAACUUGCCCCAUGGAUGAUCCCCGAACCCCAGGACCGGAAAUUACAGGUGUCCUGUUCCAGGCGCAUGUUACCAAAGGUGCUGCCCACCUCAGCCGGCGAAGGGCUGGAAACGUGCACCAAUCUGGAAGCAGGACCAGGCAUCUCUCUGAGACUGACCGACCGACCGGGGAGCCUGCGUGGAAGAGCGGCCUGCGGAGACUGCACCAGCGUGCCCACAGGAAAGACAAGACAGACGCCCGUUCAGAGCCCGGCCGACCCAAAAUUCAGAACAAAAGUCUUCGUGGGCUUCAGGGUUUGGCGGUGGGGGUGGGGAGCAGAUCGGGGAGCAGGAUUCUUGGGCUGACUUCCCCCCUCCCCAUUCCUUGGGGCAUGUGUCAUGGCCUGUGACACAGCGCCAGGGGAACAUGGAUGCCGGAGAAAUGUCUACACACGCUACACAUUUGUGACAUGCCAUGUAAGCGACACCGUUUCCUGGCUGGGCUUUCUUGGCACAGGUGUGGGCAGACGCUGGAUUCUGCUCCCUCCUACUGUGCUUAGUAAACAGGAUCACGGGGGUUGGGGGAUGCGGUCUAAGCAAAGCGGGGUGGGGGCUCCCCUCUCCUAAGAGGAGGGGACCCCCACGGCCAGGCUCAGGCCAAGCAGGAGCCCAGUAUUUGAAACUGUCCUUGUUUCAAAACACAAAGCACCCUGUUCAGGAUCCUGGCCGCCACCCCCACUCCCUCCAAGCCCACCACAGCUGUCUCCCUCCAAGAGGAAGAAGGGCCACCAUUUGCAGAUUCGGUUUCAGCAAGAGAUCAGCCGAUUCUCUCCCUUCUCAUCCCGCCGAGCUGGCCCCAGCCACACAAGGGAAAACAAUAACCCUAACAAAAUAGGACCGCCAGGACAAAACAGGCGUAUACACUGGGGCUGCGCACACACCCCGGGGAGGACCGGGGCUGGCCCAGCCAGCUCCCAGCCAGAACUUGGCCACCCGGGCCUGAGAUGUUCCAGGACCACGGCCCCCUCCCCCCUGCCAACCUCCCAAUGUGGGAAGAUUUUCAAAAAGGGGAGCACCCAGUUUUUGCCUGCCAGACAGACAAGGGAAGAGGGGGAAAAAAAAAAAGGAAGAAUAAAGGUUCCUAAAGAAAAGAAA